RNAcentral lists this ribosomal RNA (253 nucleotides) under uncultured bacterium. Its description in RNAcentral is "partial 16S ribosomal RNA". It matches the Rfam family "Bacterial small subunit ribosomal RNA", at positions 524 to 776 of the family's 1533-position model. The record is from RNAcentral.
UACAGAGGGCUCAAGCGUUGUUCGGAUUCAUUGGGCGUAAAGGGUGCGUAGGUGGUGAUGCAAGUCUGGUGUGAAAUCUCGGAGCUCAACUCCGAAAUUGCACCGGAUACUGCGUGACUCGAGGACUGUAGAGGAGAUCGGAAUUCACGGUGUAGCAGUGAAAUGCGUAGAUAUCGUGAGGAAGACCAGUUGCGAAGGCGGAUCUCUGGGCAGUUCCUGACACUGAGGCACGAAGGCCAGGGGAGCAAACGGG